GAUGGUGUGCAAAAUCACAGAGAGAGGGUGAGAAGUUAGGAAGAAAAUGUUUCUUUCAUUCCUCACCAAAAUCCUAGUACAAUCUAUGUAUAUAUAUAUAUAGUCAAUAUGGUUUGAUCCAAAAAAACUUCCUUAGCUAAUCCAAUCUGAAUGCACUCACCCAAGUCCAAACCUGGAUUAGCUCCCAUAAGACCUACAAAUCAGGGUCUCAUGACUGUGGAGGGAUGAACCUCCACUUUAGGACCAAAUCAGUCAUAGUCCUA
Molecule: long non-coding RNA, 263 nt
Filed under: Elaeis guineensis (African oil palm)
Lineage: Eukaryota; Viridiplantae; Streptophyta; Magnoliopsida; Arecales; Arecaceae
Description: long non-coding RNA (EGUI_LNC017557)
Source: RNAcentral